CCGAGGAGGAGCGCCGCGUGGUGGUGUAAGCACUCAGCCUGCUGAAGCGCGGGAGUGCAGAGAGGCGACCCCACGAGGUGGAGACAGGAGGGACAGGGUCCUCCUGGGGGGACAAAGCGAGCGGCGUCCUGGCGGGGUCGAGAGGGCAGGAGACGCAGCGGAUAUUGGCAGGGUUCUGGAUAGCGGCGCGUGCUGGUGCGCGUGCCCGCGAGCGAGUACCUGCACCUGGCCGUGGACCACUUCGCACUCGUGCUGGUGGCGUGUGCGCGCGUGCUCGACAUGGUCGCCGAGAUCGCGCGCGUGCACGUGACCCGUGUGCGCUCCCCACGCUUGCACGUGAUGGAGGGGACCCACGUGGGUCGCGAUCUCAUCUCCGAGCUCUGCUUCACGAACCCCGUGGCACACGCCCUGCACCGCGUGCGCGUCCGCGUGGAGGGAGCCGGCGUGCACGCGCCGGGCAACAUACU
Lethenteron reissneri (Far Eastern brook lamprey) is the source of this 467-nucleotide long non-coding RNA. RefSeq lists it as uncharacterized. NCBI's taxonomy places the organism in Eukaryota, Metazoa, Chordata, Hyperoartia, Petromyzontiformes, Petromyzontidae. The record is from RefSeq and is a predicted model, not a curated record.